CGGCCCGCGUCGACGGAAAGUGACGAUUUAGGUGCGAGCGGUCACGUGUUUCUGGCUGGAGGUAGAGCACUGGAUGGUCUAGGGGGCCCACAAGCUUACCGAAAUCAACCAAACUCCGAAUGCCGGUCAGUGAGAGCGUGGCAGUGAGACAGUGGGGGCUAAGCUUCAUUGUCGAAAGGGAAACAGCCCAGAUCGCCGGUUAAGGUCCCUAAGCGUGUGCUAAGUGGGAAAGGAUGUGGAGUCGCCCAGACAACCAGGAGGUUGGCUUAGAAGCAGCCAUCCUUUAAAGAGUGCGUAAUAGCUCACUGGUCAAGUGGUUCCGCGCCGACAAUGUAGCGGGGCUCAAGCACACCACCGAAACCGCGGCAUUCAUGCGUAUAGCUCGGCCCUUCGGGGUCCAGGUGCAUGGAUGGGUAGGGGAGCGUCGUGUGGCGAGUGAAGCGGCGGAGUGAUCCAGCCGUGGACGCUACACGAGUGAGAAUGCAGGCAUGAGUAGCGAAUGGGGAGUGAGAAACUCCUCAACCG
Molecule: small RNA, 525 nt
Filed under: uncultured Frankia sp.
Lineage: Bacteria; Bacillati; Actinomycetota; Actinomycetes; Frankiales; Frankiaceae
Description: bacterial LSU rRNA
Rfam family: Bacterial large subunit ribosomal RNA
Source: RNAcentral